CACCGGCAGUUCUAGUGGUAAUAAUUUUUAUUGGGCCUAAAGCGUCCGUAGCCGGUUUAAUAAGUCUCUGGUGAAAUCCUGUAGCUUAACUGUGGGAGUUGCUGGAGAUACUAUUAGACUUGAGACCGGGAGAGGUUAGAGGUACUCCCAGGGUAGAGGUGAAAUUCUGUAAUCCUGGGAGGACCGCCUGUUGCGAAGGCGUCUAACUGGAACGGUUCUGACGGUGAGGGACGAAAGUUAGGGGCGCGAACCGGAUUAGAUACCCGGGUAGUCCUAACUGUAAACGAUGCGGACUUGGUGUUGGGGUGGCUUUGAGCUGCUCCAGUGCCGAAGGGAAGCUGUUAAGUCCGCCGCCUGGGAAGUACGGUCGCAAGACUGAAACUUAA
This 386-nucleotide ribosomal RNA is filed under the name uncultured methanogenic archaeon. RNAcentral's name for it is "bacterial SSU rRNA". It matches the Rfam family "Archaeal small subunit ribosomal RNA", at positions 474 to 859 of the family's 1478-position model. The record is from RNAcentral. Lineage: Archaea; Methanobacteriati; Methanobacteriota.